Molecule: ribosomal RNA, 247 nt
Filed under: uncultured Candidatus Saccharibacteria bacterium
Lineage: Bacteria; Candidatus Saccharimonadota
Description: partial 16S ribosomal RNA
Rfam family: Bacterial small subunit ribosomal RNA
Source: RNAcentral
CACGCCGUAAACGAUGGAUACUAGCUGUAGGGGGUAUCGACCCCCUCUGUAGCGAAGCUAACGCGUUAAGUAUCCCGCCUGUGGAGUACGGCCGCAAGGCUAAAACAUAAAGGAAUUGACGGGGACCCGCACAAGCGGUGGAGCGUGUUCUUUAAUUCGAUGCUAAACGAAGAACCUUACCAGGGCUUGACAUCCCGAGAAUUACUGCGAAAGCAGUGAGUGCUUUAUUGAACUCGGUGACAGGUGC